GGGCUACACUCUAUUGGCAUGCAGCUUUUUUGGUGGCUCUAAGUAGCAAUUUGAUCAAAUAUUUGAGCUGAUAUGCCAAAGGAGAGUUGCCCUA
Molecule: non-coding RNA, 94 nt
Organism: Solanum tuberosum (potato)
Lineage: Eukaryota; Viridiplantae; Streptophyta; Magnoliopsida; Solanales; Solanaceae
Source: RefSeq, marked provisional